RNAcentral lists this ribosomal RNA (609 nucleotides) under Calicium chlorosporum. Its description in RNAcentral is "eukaryotic LSU rRNA". It matches the Rfam family "Eukaryotic large subunit ribosomal RNA", at positions 132 to 759 of the family's 3401-position model. Lineage: Eukaryota; Fungi; Ascomycota; Lecanoromycetes; Caliciales; Caliciaceae. The record is from RNAcentral.
UGGGGUUCGAGUUGUAAUUUGAAGAGGGUGUUUCGGGCGAGGCUCCGGCCUAAGUUCCUUGGAACAGGGCGUCAAAGAGGGUGAGAAUCCCGUCUGUGGCCGGUGACCGAGUUCAUGUGAAACCCCUUCGACGAGUCGAGUUGUUUGGGAAUGCAGCUCUAAAUGGGUGGUAUAUUUCAUCUAAAGCUAAAUACCGGCCAGAGACCGAUAGCGCACAAGUAGAGUGAUCGAAAGAUGAAAAGCACUUUGGAAAGAGAGUUAAAAAGUACGUGAAAUUGUUGAAAGGGAAGCGCUUGCCACCAGACCUGUCGUCGGGUGAUCAGCCGUCGUUCUCGGCGGUGCACUCGCCCGUGCGCAGGCCAGCAUCGGUUCAGGCGGCUGGAUAAAGGUCCCGGGAAUGUAGCUCCUUCCGGGGAGUCUUAUAGCCCGGGGUGCAAUGCGGCCAGCCUGGACCGAGGACCGCGCUUCGGCAAGGAUGCUGGCGUAAUGGUUGCAAGCGGCCCGUCUUGAAACACGGACCAAGGAGUCUAACAUCUAUGCGAGUGUUCGGGUGUCAAACCCGUGCGCGGAAUGAAAGUGAACGGAGGUGGGAACCCUGAAGGGCGCACC